Molecule: ribosomal RNA, 465 nt
Filed under: Vreelandella stevensii
Lineage: Bacteria; Pseudomonadati; Pseudomonadota; Gammaproteobacteria; Oceanospirillales; Halomonadaceae
Description: partial 16S ribosomal RNA
Rfam family: Bacterial small subunit ribosomal RNA
Source: RNAcentral
CCUACGGGAGGCUGCAGUGGGGAAUAUUGGACAAUGGGGGGAACCCUGAUCCAGCCAUGCCGCGUGUGUGAAGAAGGCCCUCGGGUUGUAAAGCACUUUCAGUGAGGAAGAACGCCUGGUGGUGAAUACCCAUCAGGAAAGACAUCACUCACAGAAGAAGCACCGGCUAACUCCGUGCCAGCAGCCGCGGUAAUACGGAGGGUGCGAGCGUUAAUCGGAAUUACUGGGCGUAAAGCGCGCGUAGGUGGCUUGAUAAGCCGGUUGUGAAAGCCCCGGGCUCAACCUGGGAACGGCAUCCGGAACUGUCAAGCUAGAGUGCAGGAGAGGAAGGUAGAAUUCCCGGUGUAGCGGUGAAAUGCGUAGAGAUCGGGAGGAAUACCAGUGGCGAAGGCGGCCUUCUGGACUGACACUGACACUGAGGUGCGAAAGCGUGGGUAGCAAACAGGAUUAGAUACCCGAGUAGUC